This 119-nucleotide ribosomal RNA is filed under the name Sinocyclocheilus rhinocerous. Lineage: Eukaryota; Metazoa; Chordata; Actinopteri; Cypriniformes; Cyprinidae. The record is from RNAcentral.
GCUUACGGCCAUACCACCCUGUCUGUACCCGAUCUCGUCUGAUUGCGGAAGCUAAGCAGGUUCGGGCGUGGUUAGUACUUGGAUGGGGGACCUCCUGGGAAUACCAGGUGCUUUAACGU